UAUGUGAUCGUCUCUCGCAUAUCAAUAAGCGGAGGAAAAGAAACUAACAAGGAUUCCCCUAGUAACGGCGAGUGAAGCGGGAAGAGCUCAAAUUUGAAAUCUUAAAGGGUUUCCCUUUACGAAUUGUAGUUUAAAGAAGUGUUUUCUGUUGAGGUUUUGGUAAAAGUUCUUUGGAAUAGGACAUCAUAGAGGGUGAGAAUCCCGUAUUUGACCUUUACUUUCAACUUUGUGAUACACUUUCAAAGAGUCGGAUUGUUUAGGAAUGCAGUCCAAAAUGGGUGGUAAAUUUCAUCUAAAGCUAAAUAUUGGCGAGAGACCGAUAGCGAACAAGUACCGUGAGGGAAAGAUGAAAAGAACUUUGAAAAGAGAGUUAAACAGUACGUGAAAUUGUCAAAAGGGAAGCGUUUGACACCAGUGUUGUUUUUCUGAAAAUCAAUUAAAGAACUGUUUAUGCUAAGCUGUUUAGACUUUAUCAGCUAACUGUUUAGUUUUGAGCUUUUCUUUAAUGCACUUUUCAGUUAACAAGUCAACAUCAAUUUCUUUUGCUGUAAAAAAGCUUGAGGAAGGUGGCUUGAGAUUCGUCUUAAGUGUUUAUAGCCUCUUGCCUAUGCAGUCGGAGAGAUUGAGGUCUGCAGCGUAGAUCCUUCGGGGCUAAAUGCAUUUGUGCUAAGUUAUAGCAUUUUAUAGACAACUUGUUGACUAUGAUUUGUCUUGUAGCUUACUCGCUUAUGUUAUUUUACCUACGCUUAGGAUGUUGACACACGCGCGUGCUCG
RNAcentral lists this ribosomal RNA (774 nucleotides) under uncultured Neocallimastigales. RNAcentral's name for it is "partial large subunit ribosomal RNA". It matches the Rfam family "Eukaryotic large subunit ribosomal RNA", at positions 24 to 643 of the family's 3401-position model. Lineage: Eukaryota; Fungi; Neocallimastigomycota; Neocallimastigomycetes; Neocallimastigales. The record is from RNAcentral.